CCUACGGGUGGCAGCAGUGAGGAAUAUUGGUCAAUGGGCGCGAGCCUGAACCAGCCAAGUCGCGUGAGGGAAGACGGUCCUAUGGAUUGUAAACCUCUUUUGUCGGGGAGCAAAAGACGCCACGCGUGGCGUUCCGAGAGUACCCGAAGAAAAAGCAUCGGCUAACUCCGUGCCAGCAGCCGCGGUAAUACGGAGGAUGCGAGCGUUAUCCGGAUUUAUUGGGUUUAAAGGGUGCGCAGGCGGAAGAUCAAGUCAGCGGUAAAAUUGAGAGGCUCAACCUCUUCGAGCCGUUGAAACUGGUUGUCUUGAGUGGGCGAGAAGUAUGCGGAAUGCGUGGUGUAGCGGUGAAAUGCAUAGAUAUCACGCAGAACGCCGAUUGCGAAGGCAGCAUACCGGCGCCCAACUGACGCUGAGGCACGAAAGCGUGGGGAUCGAACAGGAUUAGAUACCCCAGUAGUC
RNAcentral lists this ribosomal RNA (459 nucleotides) under uncultured bacterium. RNAcentral describes it as "partial 16S ribosomal RNA". It matches the Rfam family "Bacterial small subunit ribosomal RNA", at positions 338 to 795 of the family's 1533-position model. The record is from RNAcentral.